UGGGGAAUAUUGCACAAUGGGCGCAAGCCUGAUGCAGCGACGCCGCGUGAGGGAUGACGGCCUUCGGGUUGUAAACCUCUGUUAGCAUCGAAGAAGCGAAAGUGACGGUAGGUGCAGAGAAAGCGCCGGCUAACUACGUGCCAGCAGCCGCGGUAAUACGUAGGGCGCGAGCGUUGUCCGGAAUUAUUGGGCGUAAAGAGCUUGUAGGCGGUUGGUCGCGCCUGCUGUGAAAGGCCGGGGCUUAACUCCGGUUUUGCAGUGGGUACGGGCUAACUAGAGUGCAGUAGGGGAGACUGGAAUUCCUGGUGUAGCGGUGGAAUGCACAGAUAUCAGGAGGAACACCGAUGGCGAAGGCAGGUCUCUGGGCUGUAACUGACGCUGAGAAGCGAAAGCAUGGGGAGCGAACAGGAUUAGAUACCCUGGUAGUCCAUGCCGUAAACGUUGGGCACUAGGUGUGGGGGACAUUCCACGUUUUCCGCGCCGUAGCUAACGCAUUAAGUGCCCCGCCUGGGGAGUACGGCCGCAAGGCUA
Molecule: ribosomal RNA, 531 nt
Filed under: uncultured bacterium
Lineage: Bacteria
Description: bacterial SSU rRNA
Rfam family: Bacterial small subunit ribosomal RNA
Source: RNAcentral